AGCGAGGUUAUUCCAGACCUAACGGCGGACGGGUGAGUAAUGCGUAGGAAGCUGCCCGAUAGAGGGGGAUACCAGUUGGAAACGACUGUUAAUACCGCAUAAUGUCUACGGACCAAAGUGUGGGACCUUCGGGCCACAUGCUAUCGGAUGCGCCUACGUGGGAUUAGCUAGUUGGUGGGGUAAAGGCUCACCAAGGCGACGAUCCCUAGCUGGUUUGAGAGGAUGAUCAGCCACACUGGGACUGAGACACGGCCCAGACUCCUACGGGAGGCAGCAGUGGGGAAUAUUGGACAAUGGGCGCAAGCCUGAUCCAGCCAUGCCGCGUGUGUGAAGAAGGCCUUCGGGUUGUAAAGCACUUUCAGUGGGGAGGAAGGGUGUU
This 379-nucleotide ribosomal RNA is filed under the name Alishewanella sp. CSP-005. Its description in RNAcentral is "bacterial SSU rRNA". It matches the Rfam family "Bacterial small subunit ribosomal RNA", at positions 65 to 456 of the family's 1533-position model. The record is from RNAcentral. Lineage: Bacteria; Pseudomonadati; Pseudomonadota; Gammaproteobacteria; Alteromonadales; Alteromonadaceae.